Molecule: small RNA, 313 nt
Filed under: Alicyclobacillus acidocaldarius
Lineage: Bacteria; Bacillati; Bacillota; Bacilli; Caryophanales; Alicyclobacillaceae
Description: bacterial LSU rRNA
Rfam family: Bacterial small subunit ribosomal RNA (bases 1-125)
Source: RNAcentral
CGGCACACCCGAAGUCGGUGAGGUAACCCCGAAAGGGGAGCCAGCCGCCGAAGGUGGGGUCGAUGAUUGGGGUGAAGUCGUAACAAGGUAGCCGUACCGGAAGGUGCGGCUGGAUCACCUCCUUUCUAGGGAGAAGUUUUGGGGCUUACGGGUUUGGAUGGUUGGGUGUGUUUAGUUUUGAGGGAGCGAGAGCUCUCUCGAAGGACCUUGGCAAGUGCAUAGGGAGUUUGGGAAGGUGAAGCUAGGAAGGGCACACGGUGGAUGCCUAGGCGCCAAGAGCCGAAGAAGGACGGGGCGAACGCCGAUAUGCCAC